This 66-nucleotide transfer RNA is filed under the name Dipodomys ordii (Ord's kangaroo rat). It matches the Rfam family "tRNA". From Rfam's summary of the family: Transfer RNA (tRNA) molecules are approximately 80 nucleotides in length. Their secondary structure includes four short double-helical elements and three loops (D, anti-codon, and T loops). Lineage: Eukaryota; Metazoa; Chordata; Mammalia; Rodentia; Heteromyidae. The record is from Rfam by way of RNAcentral.
GGUGGCUCAGUGGUAGAGCACUUGCCUUGCAUGCAUGAGGCUCUGGGUUCGAUUACCCCAGCACCA